Molecule: ribosomal RNA, 406 nt
Filed under: uncultured bacterium
Lineage: Bacteria
Description: partial 16S ribosomal RNA
Rfam family: Bacterial small subunit ribosomal RNA
Source: RNAcentral
AUUGAACGCUGGCGGCAGGCCUAACACAUGCAAGUCGAACGAGUGGCGGACGGGUGAGUAAUGUCUGGGAAACUGCCUGAUGGAGGGGGAUAACUACUGGAAACGGUAGCUAAUACCGCAUACUAUCGGAUGUGCCCAGAUGGGAUUAGCUAGUAGGUGGGGUAACGGCUCACCUAGGCGACGAUCUCUAGCUGGUCUGAGAGGAUGACCAGCCACACUGGGACUGAGACACGGUCCAGACUCCUACGUGAGGCAGCAGUGGGGAAUAGUGGACAAUGGGCGCAAGCCUGAUACAGCCAUGCCGCGUGUAUGAAGAAGGCCUUCGGGUUGUAAAGUACUUUCAGCGGGGAGGCGUUACCCGCAGAAGAAGCACCGGCUAACUCCGUGCCAGCAGCCGCGGUAAUAC